This 418-nucleotide ribosomal RNA is filed under the name Uromastyx aegyptia. RNAcentral's name for it is "partial 16S rRNA". It matches the Rfam family "Bacterial large subunit ribosomal RNA", at positions 1904 to 2541 of the family's 2925-position model. The record is from RNAcentral. Lineage: Eukaryota; Metazoa; Chordata; Lepidosauria; Squamata; Agamidae.
GCCCAGAUGAGAUGCCCUUAAACGGCCGCGAGAACCAACCGCGCAAAGGUAGCGCAAUCACUUGUCCCCCAAAUAGGGACCCGUAUGAAAGGUUACAUGAGAAAGAAACUGUCUCCUUAGGUUGGUCGAUGAAACUGAUCCAUCAGUACAAAAGCUGAUAUAAAAAAAUAGGACGAAAAGACCCUGUGAAACUUCAAACCUAAUCAAACCACCACCCUUGACCAAGGUCUUAAGUUGGGGCAACUAUGGAGAAACUAAACCUCCACCACACUGCCAAGUCCAACAAGACAAAGCAAACUAACUAAUAAUCGACCCAGUACAACUGACCAAAGAACCAAGCUACUCCAGGGAUAACAGCGCCAUACUCUUCAAGAGUCCAUAUCAACAAGAGUACCUACGACCUCGAUGUUGGAUCAGG